UGGGCGCAAGCCUGAUGCAGCGACGCCGCGUGAGGGAUGACGGCCUUCGGGUUGUAAACCUCUUUCACCAGGGACGAAGCGUGAGAGACGGUACCUGGAGAAGAAGCACCGGCCAACUACGUGCCAGCAGCCGCGGUAAUACGUAGGGUGCGAGCGUUGUCCGGAAUUACUGGGCGUAAAGAGCUCGUAGGCGGUUUGUCGCGUCGUCUGUGAAAUUCUGCAACUCAAUUGCAGGCGUGCAGGCGAUACGGGCAGACUUGAGUACUACAGGGGAGACUGGAAUUCCUGGUGUAGCGGUGAAAUGCGCAGAUAUCAGGAGGAACACCGGUGGCGAAGGCGGGUCUCUGGGUAGUAACUGACGCUGAGGAGCGAAAGCGUGGGUAGCGAACAGGAUUAGAUACCCUGGUAGUCCACGCCGUAAACGGUGGGUACUAGGUGUGGGUUCCUUUUCACGGGAUCCGUGCCGUAGCUAACGCAUUAAGUACCCCGCCUGG
This 494-nucleotide ribosomal RNA is filed under the name Gordonia hongkongensis. Its description in RNAcentral is "bacterial SSU rRNA". It matches the Rfam family "Bacterial small subunit ribosomal RNA", at positions 372 to 876 of the family's 1533-position model. Lineage: Bacteria; Bacillati; Actinomycetota; Actinomycetes; Mycobacteriales; Gordoniaceae. The record is from RNAcentral.